RNAcentral lists this ribosomal RNA (264 nucleotides) under uncultured prokaryote. RNAcentral describes it as "partial 16S ribosomal RNA". It matches the Rfam family "Bacterial small subunit ribosomal RNA", at positions 524 to 788 of the family's 1533-position model. The record is from RNAcentral.
UACGUAGGGGCAAGCGUUAUCCGGAUUUACUGGGUGUAAAGGGAGCGCAGACGGAACUGCAAGUCUGAUGUGAAAGCCCGGGGCUCAACCGCGGGACUGCAUCGGAUACUGUGGAUCUGGAGUGCCGGAGGGGCAAGCGGAAUUCCUGGUGUAGCGGUGAAAUGCGUAGAUAUUGGGAGGAACACCAGUGGUGAAGGCGGCUCUCUGGCCUAACCCUGACGCUGAGGCGCGAAAGCGUGGGGAGCAAACAGGAUUAGAUACCCU